GAUGAACGCUGGCGGCGUGCUUAACACAUGCAAGUCGAACGGUGAAGCAGAGCUUGCUCUGUGGAUCAGUGGCGAACGGGUGAGUAACACGUGAGCAACCUGCCCCUGACUCUGGGAUAAGCGCUGGAAACGGCGUCUACUCCUGGAUAUGAGCUGCGACCGCAUGGUCAGCAGUUGGAAAGAUUUUUCGGUCUGGGAUGGGCUCACGGCCUAUCAGCUUGUUGGUGAGGUAAUGGCUCACCAAGGCGUCGACGGGUAGCCGGCCUGAGAGGGUGACCGGCCACACUGGGACUGAGACACGGCCCAGACUCCUACGGGAGGCAGCAGUGGGGAAUAUUGCACAAUGGGCGAAAGCCUGAUGCAGCAACGCCGCGUGAGGGAUGACGGCCUUCGGGUUGUAAACCUCUUUUAGCAGGGAAGAAGCGAAAGUGACGGUACCUGCAGAAAAAGCGCCGGCUAACUACGUG
Molecule: ribosomal RNA, 467 nt
Filed under: uncultured bacterium
Lineage: Bacteria
Description: partial 16S ribosomal RNA
Rfam family: Bacterial small subunit ribosomal RNA
Source: RNAcentral